AUGACAUUGCUUGUUUCAAUAAUUAUAAAACUUCUCACCACGACUAGAGGCAAUAUGCAACCAUUACAUAUUCGGAUACCGUCAAAAGAAAGACUCUCGAUUCUCUCUGCGAAGUUCAACAAUACAUGUUUACAGAAAUGUGAUGACUAUUCAGCCAAACAACUUAGAACGAAAGUAGCAACAAAAAUUGACCUAAGAGGAUUUAAUAGUAUGAACCAAACCGAAGAAAUAUAA
Molecule: non-coding RNA, 234 nt
Organism: Vicia faba (fava bean)
Lineage: Eukaryota; Viridiplantae; Streptophyta; Magnoliopsida; Fabales; Fabaceae
Source: the annotation of a GenBank genome assembly